UACGUAGGGUGCGAGCGUUAAUCGGAAUUACUGGGCGUAAAGCGUGCGCAGGCGGUGAUGUAAGACAGAUGUGAAAUCCCCGGGCUCAACCUGGGAACUGCAUUUGUGACUGUAGAGCUGGAGUGCGGCAGAGGGGGAUGGAAUUCCGCGUGUAGCAGUGAAAUGCGUAGAUAUGCGGAGGAACACCGAUGGCGAAGGCAAUCCCCUGGGCCUGCACUGACGCUCAUGCACGAAAGCGUGGGGAGCAAACAGG
This 253-nucleotide ribosomal RNA is filed under the name uncultured bacterium. Its description in RNAcentral is "partial 16S ribosomal RNA". It matches the Rfam family "Bacterial small subunit ribosomal RNA", at positions 524 to 776 of the family's 1533-position model. The record is from RNAcentral.